CAAUAGCGUAUAUUAAAGUUGUUGCGGUUAAAAAGCUCGUAGUUGGAUUUCUGCUGAGAACGACCGGUCCGCCCUCUGGGUGUGUAUCUGGCUCUUUCUUGGCAUCUUCUUGGUGAACGUUGCUGCACUUGACUGUGUGGAGCGCUACCCAGGACUUUUACUUUGAGGAAAUUAGAGUGUUUCAAGCAGGCAUACGCCUUGAAUACAUUAGCAUGGAAUAAUAAGAUAGGACCUCGGUUCUAUUUUGUUGGUUUCUAGAGCUGAGGUAAUGAUUAAUAGGGAUAGUUGGGGGCAUUCGUAUUUAACUGUCAGAGGUGAAAUUCUUGGAUUUGUUAAAGAUGGACUACUGCGAAAGCAUUUGCCAAGGAUGUUUNCAUUGA
RNAcentral lists this ribosomal RNA (380 nucleotides) under uncultured eukaryote. RNAcentral's name for it is "partial 18S ribosomal RNA". It matches the Rfam family "Eukaryotic small subunit ribosomal RNA", at positions 592 to 976 of the family's 1831-position model. The record is from RNAcentral.